CUAACAACACUGUACUACGAAACAUUUUUUCCCGCUCAAGGCUUUGGUACUAAACCUCCGCAAUGUGCGCCAAAUAACUAAUCAAUCACUUGUAGCCGUUAACACAGAGCAUGAACAACUCUUCUUGAUCUAUAUGAAUGUGUGUCUGUGCGCGUAUUUCGUCGUAAUUAUAAUGUAUGGCGAAAAUGCUUUAAACUAAGUGCGUCUCACUCGCCCAGCCAAGCUGCUGAUUGACUAACUGACAAAUGGUUGCAGUCAUGUUUGUGCCCAACCCAAUUCCCACCUGCGCGAAAUGGUUCAAAUGUCAUAACAAGAUGGCGCAUACAUGUCAUGCCAACACAUACAUAUGUCUGGACACACACACACAUUUGCAUUUGCAUGCACAGUGUGCACAAUGGCGGGCAGGACUGGGAACAAUGACAAGCACAUUGGGCGUCGUUGGCGUCCAACUGCCUGCACCAGGCAAUAAUAAUUCGCCAGUGCCAGUCAUUGACAAUGUCGGUGCCAUAAUGGCUCUCCACAGACUGACUGACUGCUGCUUGUGUUGUCGUUGCAAAAGUUAUUGUACCCUGUACCCACGGGCGUAAGCGCAUAAGUUGACCGCACAGGUUAGAGCGUUCCGUUAUAACUACAAAUAAGGCUGGCCACGCCUCUUUCUGUGAUCGCAAAUCAGAAUUAUCGAUAACAUUUACAGUUUUGUAGAAAUGACAGGGUAGUGCAGCGUUCAUACUUUCAUAUUGCUCAUAUUGCUGCACUGCGUCGAAAUGACAGAGGGUGCGACACCUACAAUUGCGAGAGUCGUCUAAAUGAAUGAAUUAAGUCAGCCAUGUGACAUAACUGCAAUGACCGCGCUGCUGCUGAUGCCCAGUGCCCCAGUCGCCCAGUCUCCGUUCGAGUCGCAGUCGGAGUCGCAGGGUCAGCCUCAGUCUUAGUCCCUUGUUGCCUGGCGGAGGCGAAUGCUAAAGCAGCAAAGUGCCAACGCCUCACGUUGCACAUUUGCCACAUUGUUUUGUUGCUGUCAUUCCUGACGCCUUCUGACGUUCUUGUGAUUACGUAUUUGCUGCUCGCUGCUGUGUCGCUGCCCGUUGCCAAAGUUAUAUGGCACACACGUACAGCAGCAGCAGCAACAGCAGCACACGCUCCUACUCCCUCACGGCCCUGUCCACGCCCAGGAUGCCAACGAGGCCGUCGGUUGGCGCAGGACAAUGGCAAUGCCGGAAUGCAAAUGGCGUGUGGACGUGAACGAAUCGCGCACACGGCGCAAAAUGUUGUUGCUGCCACUUGAAUUACAUAUGCAGGCCGCGGGAAGCUGAACUUAUCACAUUGCGCCUAGAGCUGAGCGCGUGUCGUGUUUUCAACGGUGACGCGAACACGCGCCAUUUGAGAUGACACGAUCGUGUUAAGAAACUCUGAAAUCUUACGGCAUUUACAAUAAAAACUCAAGCGAAAAUAAUUAAAUAAGAUAAAAGUUAUGUUCGUAUAUUUGGCUCGCGCUAAAUAUGUAUUAAAACUGGAAGCUAGGACGAUAUAGAACGCAAAGUUUCUAGAUAACAUCCGCUAAAA
Molecule: long non-coding RNA, 1563 nt
Organism: Drosophila virilis
Lineage: Eukaryota; Metazoa; Arthropoda; Insecta; Diptera; Drosophilidae
Source: RefSeq, a predicted model, not a curated record